Molecule: ribosomal RNA, 620 nt
Filed under: uncultured bacterium
Lineage: Bacteria
Description: bacterial SSU rRNA
Rfam family: Bacterial small subunit ribosomal RNA
Source: RNAcentral
GGGUGAGUAAUAUAUCGGAACGUACCCAAGAGUGGGGGAUAACGUAGCGAAAGUUACGCUAAUACCGCAUACGAUCUAAGGAUGAAAGCAGGGGACCGCAAGGCCUUGUGCUCCUGGAGCGGCCGAUAUCUGAUUAGCUAGUUGGUAGGGUAAAGGCCUACCAAGGCAUCGAUCAGUAGCUGGUCUGAGAGGACGACCAGCCACACUGGAACUGAGACACGGUCCAGACUCCUACGGGAGGCAGCAGUGGGGAAUUUUGGACAAUGGGCGCAAGCCUGAUCCAGCAAUGCCGCGUGAGUGAAGAAGGCCUUCGGGUUGUAAAGCUCUUUUGUCAGGGAAGAAACGGGUGGGGCUAAUAUCCCCAUCUAAUGACGGUACCUGAAGAAUAAGCACCGGCUAACUACGUGCCAGCAGCCGCGGUAAUACGUAGGGUGCAAGCGUUAAUCGGAAUUACUGGGCGUAAAGCGUGCGCAGGCGGUUUUGUAAGUUUGUCGUGAAAUCCCCGGGCUCAACCUGGGAAUGGCGAUGAAGACUGCAAGGCUAGAGUUUGGCAGAGGGGGGUAGAAUUCCACGUGUAGCAGUGAAAUGCGUAGAGAUGUGGAGGAACACCGAUGGCGAAG